RNAcentral lists this ribosomal RNA (453 nucleotides) under uncultured Porphyromonadaceae bacterium. RNAcentral describes it as "partial 16S ribosomal RNA". It matches the Rfam family "Bacterial small subunit ribosomal RNA", at positions 341 to 792 of the family's 1533-position model. The record is from RNAcentral. Lineage: Bacteria; Pseudomonadati; Bacteroidota; Bacteroidia; Bacteroidales; Porphyromonadaceae.
ACGGAAGGCAGCAGUGGGGAAUAUUGGUCAAUGGGCGGAAGCCUGAACCAGCCAAGUCGCGUGAAGGAAGAAGGUAUUAUGUAUUGUAAACUUCUUUAGCAGCAGAGAAAUAAGGUGGACGUGUCCACUGAUGCUAGUAUGCUGAGAAUAAGCAUCGGCUAACUCCGUGCCAGCAGCCGCGGUAAUACGGAGGAUGCGAGCGUUAUCCGGAUUUAUCGGGUUUAAAGGGUGCGCAGGCGGUCUUUUAAGUCAGUGGUCAAAUCGUGGUGCUCAACGCCAUCCCGCCAUUGAUACUGGGAGACUUGAUUGCGGUUGAGGUAGGCGGAAUUCGUCGUGUAGCGGUGAAAUGCAUUGAUAUGACGAAGAACACCGAUUGCGUAGGCAGCUUACCAAGCCGUAAAUGACGCUCAUGCACGAAAGUGCGGGGAUCGAACAGGAUUAGAUACCCUGGUA